Oreochromis aureus is the source of this 565-nucleotide long non-coding RNA. RefSeq lists it as uncharacterized. The record is from RefSeq and is a predicted model, not a curated record. The transcript is spliced from 4 exons. Lineage: Eukaryota; Metazoa; Chordata; Actinopteri; Cichliformes; Cichlidae.
CUGUGUGAAGCAACCACCACUCUUAUAGCUGAUUGGCCGGAGAAGGCUCACAACAUGCUUUUGAAGCCCGGUGGUGGGCAUCUCUCCCUCUGAGUCUUCUGUUGCCUGCAGUCCAGCUUGGUCUUAUUAUAUCACCACAAAGCGAUCGACUUGUGAUGCGUCUCCCGCAGCUGGUAUGUUGAAGAAUCAUCUCAGAGGAUGAAACUUUAAAAGGUGAUGUGAAGUAAACAGCUGAGGCCAAAGACUCAUCAGGAAGGUGUUCACACAGCUUCCAGCAGAGCGCAGUUUUCCCAUUCACCUCCAUAUGACCACAAGUCUUUUUACAACCACGAUUACUGCCCUGUUUAGAGAUCUGAGCAUUAAAGGAUCUAAUUUUCCAGUCUCAGGAUGUGGACACUUUGUUGGACAGAGAUGGUGGUUCAUUACCAAAAUGACUGACCAGGUCAAUUAUCACCGACUCACAAACGACAGAAACUAUCUGAGCACAGAUCUGAAGUCAGUCUCGGAGGCUUUGGUUUGUGUUGUUUACACUUUGACUGUCAGUCACUUUUUGGAACAAAGUGAU